AUUGAACGCUGGCGGCAGGCCUAACACAUGCAAGUCGAGCGGUUGAGGGUAGCUUGCUACCCGAUGCAGCGGCGAACGGGUGAGUAACGCGUGGGAAUCUGCCCAGUAGUGGGGGACAACAGUCGGAAACGACUGCUAAUACCGCAUACGCCCUACGGGGGAAAGGGGGGGAUCUUCGGACCUCUCGCUAUUGGAUGAGCCCGCGUCGGAUUAGCUAGUUGGUGAGGUAAAGGCUCACCAAGGAGACGAUCCGUUACUGGUCUGAGAGGAUGAUCAGUCAGACGUGAGCUGAGACACGGUCCAGACUCCUACGGGAGGCAGCAGUGGGGAAUUUUGGACAAUGGGGGCAACCCUGUUCCAGCCAUGCCGCGUGUGUGAAGGAGGCCUUAGGGUUGUAAAGCACUUUCAGUGGGGAGAAAAGUGAUUCACCUAAUACGUGAGUCAAUUGAUGUUACCCACAGACGAAGCACCGGCUAACUCCGUGCCAGCCGCCGCAGUAA
RNAcentral lists this ribosomal RNA (500 nucleotides) under uncultured bacterium. RNAcentral's name for it is "partial 16S ribosomal RNA". It matches the Rfam family "Bacterial small subunit ribosomal RNA", at positions 30 to 523 of the family's 1533-position model. The record is from RNAcentral.